CUUUAUUGAACGAUGGGGUCUCAAAUGGGCUGCCUCUUUGCCACUCUUUUGGUAGUAUCAGUCUCUCUUAGCUACUUGCCGUUAGAAGCCUCCGCAAACAAAUACUACUACACAUCUCCUCCCCCUCCCAAAUACAAGUCUCCACCACCACCCCCGCCACCGGUUCACAAUUCUCCACCACCACCCCCGGUUUACCUGCCCCCGCCACCUCCUCCACCAGUCUACGUGCCUGCUCCGGCACCAACUCCAAUUUUCCCUUCUCCGCCACCUCCUGUCCCCAAGUCCCCACCACCACCUCACCCUUACAUCUAUGCAUCUCCCCCUCCUCCUUACUACUACUAGAAAGUGGCCAUGAAUAGCUCAUGCUUUUAUGGUAAUCUCAUUUAUUUUUAAAACUGUACAUGUAAAGACUAGUAGUUCAGAAUUACAUUAAGCAUUUCAAUUUUAAGCACCGUGUUCUGUUUAAUUGCGUUCCUAUUGAUUAAGUGACAAAUAAAAGAGAUUGAUUAAUUUGUUCUUGUAGGAGAGGCGAAUGGUUUCCGAAUAAAGAAAGCAAGGGUUUGAUGGAAGGCUUACUUGGAGCAAGAGAGCGAUCAAUCGAGUUGCUGCGUUUUAUUCUCUUUUAUCUUUGUUUUUUAAGAAAAAUAAACUGCCACACGUAGAAACAGAAAAUUAAGUUCUUGUCAUUUUCAUGCAUAUGGAUUGUUGCUGUGUGUGUCAAUCAAAUCUCCGUUGUGUCAUUUGUAAUUUUCAACCUUUAUGCAUGCAAAUGCGAGACCUCUUACGUAUAAUAAAAUUAAUAUACUUCCAAAGAUGGUCUUAUCUUGCGUUGACUUUUUACGUUCCUUUGGUGAUGAUUUUGACGUUUGAAAUUGAUGACUAUUGUUUUUGUAAACUCUGACAUGGAUUUUUCGUGCAACUACAGAGCGCAUUAACGAGAGACUUAUCCAUGAGGGUCCAUGCAGAUCAGUGUCUAAUUAACCAAUAAUUAAUAUAACUUAAAAAAUAUAGAGUUAAUAAUUUUUAUGGGUCAUGCUCAAUUGCAGAUGUUCGUACAAAAUUUCUUGCUAAUGUAUACUUGAGUAUGAUAAUAAGUUUUAAUCAUUAUUAAUAAUUCACUUGAUAAUAUUAAACAAAUUUUCAUAUCAAUUAAGUUACAAAAUUUCUGUGACAAAUUUCCACGUACUGGAACCAUGCAAAAGGGCUUUAUUCAAGCAAAGCUGCAUAGCCGUUGGCAAUUAAAAUUAUUUAUCAAUUAAGUUAAGUAGUAAGAAUUGGAUUGUGGAUUCCAUUAAUUAUUUCAAGGAAAAUUUUAUAGAUAAUGCCGUAAUGAAAUUUACGGCAUCAAUAUCACGAUAAAUAUAAAUAUUGUAAAUUACAAAUAGAAUUAGUAAAUGUAAAGUAAAACCAGUAAAUUCAUAAAAGAUUAUUAAUUAUUUAAAAAAUUAACAUUGUGUUAUGUUUGCAAGUUUUUGUUUUGUUUACUAGUUUUAUGUUAUGUUUGCAAGUUUUUGUUUUGUUUACUAGUAAUAGAUUAAUGGGUAAUUUUUAAUUGAGUCCUCAUUAGUUCUAGAAAAACAAUUCAGAGACCAGAAGUUUACUAAAUGAAUCAAUUAAAUUCUUUCAAGUACAAACUAAUGUCAUUCAAGUCCUUAACUUAAUUGGUCAGUUAAAAAUAUUAACAACGUCGAGGACAUUUUAGUAAAACAACAAUUGAGUCGUUUCUCAUUCUUUAUUUUUGACAGGUGGAAAUAGUUUAAAGUAAACUCACUUAACCUGAUUAAGUUAAGGAUCAGUUCUUUCAAAUGAAAAAAAAAAAAAAAAAAAACCUACAGAAACUGCCAUAUUCUUCGUGUGGGAGGAGAGAUCGAGAGAACGUGGGAUGGUGCAAAAAAUGUUGUAUAAAUCUACUGUGAUUUUGACCAAAGCUUUGGUAGCAUUGAUUGAGUUCAAGUACUGGAGAGAACCUGAGUUUAAAGGUUAGUAACUCUAUUUUUUUAGUGAUUUCUGCAAGCAUUUUCUGAUAAAAAAUUUUCCGUAUUGAGUGAUCGUUGUGAAAAAUUAAGUUUUUCAAGUCUAUUUUACAAAAUGACAAACUAUGUUUAAUUAUUGGUGGAUUCUUUUUUUUGUUCAAUGUUGUAUUUUGUUAAUUUGUUGUUUUUAAUUUGCUCUUAAUGUAAUUGUUAGACCAAAUACACCAUUAUUAUACCUGUAUUCAUUUCAACAAUUUGGUAUCGUUAUAUUAAUAAGAUUGAAUUCAUUGUAUUUGCUUCUUUGUUCAUGUAAAAUUGAAUUCUAUGUAUUCUUAUGAGUGAUAAUUUUUCUAUCUAUUAGACUAAAUUCACUAUAUUCACGACUUUCUUUCUUUUUGCUGGGCUAUUUUUUCUUUUUAGUUUAUAUUUUUUAUAUGUAUUAGAUUGAAUUUGCUUUUGUACGUUUUUUUAGCCGAAUUACAUGUAUAUUUUAUUUAGGUUGAGUUUUUUUGUUGUUUGCUAAAUAAAAUUCUAUUGGUUUAUCAUUUUUUGAUGCAAUACUUUUUGUUUAAAAUUAAUGCAGGUAGCCAUGUUACCUUUUUUUCGGUUAAAAUUAAUUGGGUGAUGUAUGCGAUAUAGGGAACCAGAGGAAUAUAAGAUUAUUAGGUUGUUUCUUGAAAUUCAAGAUGUCAUGGUUGAGCAUGGACACAGUGAAAUGGAUUUGAUUGAAAUUUCUGUUGUAUUGCCAUGGACUACAAGUAGGCAGAGGAAGCUAAUUUCAAACGAUAGUGAAUUGUAUUGGGUUUUCGAGGAGUUUUUUUUUUUUUUUUAUCAAUAGUUGUCCUGUCAUUGAGUUUGAGGUGCACAUUGGGUCAGGUGGUCAGUCAUUUCAUGAAAGUGUUGUAAUAGGACCUGAAAAUCCUGUCAAUAUAGGUGUUAGUGUUAUAAUAGUGAUAAGUUUGAAAAUCCUGUGGCUAAAAAGGGUAUGCCUAGAAUAAUUGGUACUUCUUUAUUUGCCUCAAAGUUCAACACUAUGAAAUCCACCAAGAAAAAGAAUUUAUCCACUUUAACCAGCAAUCUUCAAUCUUGCCUUCAGGAUAAGCAUGAGAUCUGUCAGCACAUUGCAAUGACACUGUGGUUGGUCUGACUUCUCCAACUUCCAAUUGCUUGAAUUCUGAUAAUGUCAUAAGAUUGAUGGCUUGCUCUCAAAUCACAAAGUGUCUUGCCACUGUAUUUAGUUCCUAUGGAACAAGGAAUUGUGAAACUUCCUGGAUCCUUCAACUUCUGAGGCAUUUUACUCUGAAGCAUAUGGCUGCAUUCUUGUGUUAGAGCAACUAUUUCGAAUUCUCCAAGCCUCCACUACUAGAAAAACAGGCUACUAUGACAGAAUUUUUGUGAUAGAUAUCAGAAAAUUAGUCAUUUAUCACAAAAAUAUAACAUACAUGUGAUAGAAUUUUCAUAUAUCAACAAGGCAUGAUAGAUUUGUGAUAGUUUCUUUAUCUGUCACUUGUACAUGAUAGCAUAUUAAUAUAGUAAUGAAACGGUGAGUUUAAGAUUGGCCAAUUUGGGCAUUGAACGACACCGUGUCUUGAAGCCUUUAAAAAAAAUUCUAAGUGUUGGACACUCCUUUGAACUUCACAUAGAAAACCCUAAUUUCUACAUCCAAACUGAAUCACACAAAAAUACACCAUCACACUUGCCGCCAAUAAAUUGUUGUUGUUCGUCUUUGUCGUCAUCUUCAUCCCCACUCCACAGCUUGCUGGCUAUUCCCAUUUCCCUUUUAUAGCUUGAACAACUGAUCUUCUUCAAGUUCGAGCCACUGUUACUGACUUCUUUCGGGAGAGGUAAGUGAUUAAUUCUUUUUUUUUUUUGAAGAGACAACAAUCACCAUAAAUUUCUCAAAAUCCCUAAAAUUAUGCCAAAAAAAGGAAAAAAUAAAGCCGUUCCAUGGCCUUAAAGGACUGACUUCGAGUUCGUGGACUAACGUGCCAACGACUCCGCUUUAUGGCCUUCGUGGAACGAUUCCGUGACACGCGAGUGGCAGCGUGCUAUUUACGUGGAGUCGGAUCGGAGAAGAUUGUACUACGAGGAGUUGGCGAUGUGAGAAAGACAGCGAGUUAGCUACUACGUCUUCGACUUAGGGUAAAAUUUUGGCAGAAUUUGAACUGAAAUUUAGUGGGUUUUGAGUGGUAAGACGAGGUUUUGAGAGAGGAAAAGGAGUGUUUGGCUGGCGAGAAAGUGAGAGAAAGUUUUUGAGUGUGGAGUGAUGGCUUCUCUGUUUUUACUUCUUUAUUGUUCUUUAUUGAGUAGAUGGUGACGAUACAAACUUUUAACAUUGUUUACUUAAUUAAUUGGAUAACAAUCUUACAUGACUAUUUUGAUUUAUCAGAUAAAUCAGUUAGAGAAGAAUGGAGAUGUUGUUGCUCAGGCACGAGCAAUUACAGCAAUCUAGACACUCUGCCCCGUCUUUCUUUCAAUGUUGUUGGCACACUGAAUAAUUUCCUUAGUGACAAGUUAACCAAAUUUAGAGGUAUAUGUGAUUUUGAUUUGACUUACUCUUAAUGAAAUACAAUAAGGAUUUUUUCUGUUGUUUCUAGGCCUUUUGGAGAGUUCGGAUUGAAGCAACGUUUGCCUUAGCUAAUACAACAUCUAAGGUAUUGUUAUUAUUCUCACCUUUAUUUAUUAAAUAUAUUGAGCACAUGGUAGGUCCACCAAAAUGUAUGCAAAAUCUAUUCACCAGAGGUAUUCGCAUAAAGUGAAUUUUUGUGAGAGACUAUUCUUCAACUGUGAAAACUACUUUGGUAGUUCUCAAACCCAUUACAAUUGAUUGGUGCUUGUGUUUUUCUAUUAGAAAGAUAUCUUCUGUAAAAUCUUUGUGAACUACAUUUUUGGAAAUGCAAAUGCUUUGUGUGGUGGUGAUUGUGCUUAUUUGCUUGGUCUUCUAGCAUUUCAGUGAAAUGAUUUAUUUUGACUUGUGCUUAUGACUAACUUGUUGACAGAGAAACUAGGCCAUUUAUGGAUGCACUGAUAUGAAUCCUAUAAUUUUUCUCUUAAUUGACAUGUUGAACUUUUUGGAAGAUAUUUUUUUUUUAUUUGAUUUGUCACAUAUUGUGCUUUAUUAGUUGGAAAUGUUUUGGUUUGUGGACCAUGUUGCACUUACCAGUUCUCAAUAUUGAUAUAUGAUAUAUACACACUAUUGUACUGGAAAUUGAUUGAGUUGGUUUGCUCCAUCUGGUGAAAUUUUAUAAAAGUCGAAGGUUUGAUGAGAAUAUUGGACUCCCCAAGUGAGAAUCUAUCUAAGUUUGAAAUUGUUCUGAUAUCGUUGCUGCAGCACUUUGUUAACGUUUUUGUUUUCUGCUGAUCAUUCCAGGCCAAAUGAUAUCCGUGAUUUUUCAGAGUAUUUGUUCUUGAGGUAAUGCCUUGAGGUAAGGUAUGUAAUGAGUUGUGUGAAGUGGGAUGUGAUAAUAAUUUUGCCCUCGCUUCAUGUGAUGAAAUCCCACAUAAUUUGCCCUUGCUUUAUGUGAUGAAAUCUUUGGGUGGUUUGUUUAUUUAGUGUUUUUCUAUUUCUUUUUAUAUGCUAAUUUUCAUAGUUCUAGAGCAAGUCUUUCUCUAGUCAUUUUGAAAUACUUCCACAUGCUGCUUCUUAAGCCAAGAUUGUCUUGCCCUAAUGAACAAGUUAAAUGGAUUUGCGUUGCUUGGAGUCUCAGUGUAAUAUAUGUGUUUUAGAACUUAGAUUGAUAAACAAAUUUGAACAAAUACAGUGGAAUAAGAAUAAAGAGAAGAUUAAAAAAAAAAGAGUAGAAAUAAAGAAAAGGAUGGUGAAACUUUAGGAGAAUAGGGGAAUCAAGAGAAGAGGAUAGAAUUUUGAUGGAUUUUAUUUAAUUAUGUAACGGAGGUUUUGUGUUGUUAGAUGUUGUGCGUUAAUUAAUUUGUAAUCUUGGAAAAAUACUUUAUCAUGAAUUGGGUUAAUUGUAAGUGGUCAAUACACUAAUAUAUAUUCUUCUAGCACUCAUCUAAAUGUAAUAUGUGUUUCAGGUGAUGUUGGUGGCUCUUGGGAAUUUACUAUCAGUGUUCUUUUUACGAAUUAAUUGUUUUUCUAAUGAUGGGGUAGUGAUUGAAUAUUGUAGAGAAUUUAUGAGUUAUUCUUACGGAUUUGAUUCACCAUGUAUUUUGAUGAUACUAUUUGUUGGAAGUUUCAAGUAAUUGAAAUUUUUAGUAUAUGGUGAUAUUUGGUAUUUGAUAGUUUUUAUGAAUUUGAAUGUAAUUUUUAUUUCAGUUAAUUCAAAUUUUAAAAUGUGGGUUUUGUUAUUUCUAUUUCAAAAUUCUGGAAUUUAAAUAAUAUUAAUUAGUAUUAUUAUAAUUUCAAAAUUAAAAAUAAUAAUUUUAUUUUUUUAAACCUUAAAUCUCAUGACAGAGAAUGUGAAUCAUUAAUAUAUGAAAGAUUUUGAAAAAGCCCACCAAAUUCAAUAUAAUUUAAAUUACCUGCUAAAAUUUCCAAUUAAUUCUCAAAAGCCUUGCAAAACGACGUCGCUUGGUUCGUGACAUAUGCGUGAUAGAUAUACACUGUCACAGAAACAUGUGAUAGAUAAAAUGUUGUCAUAGAUUUAUGAAAGGGGCUACAAUGACAGAUGGAAACUCUGUCAUAAGAGGGGUCGGAUGACAGAUAUUCUCUGUCAUGAUAGCCCAUUUUUCUAGUAGUGCUCAUUUUCCUUGCCAAUAUACAUUUCCAAAACUUUACAUAAUUUGGCAUUUGUUCCAAUGCUUCCACAAAAGGAAUGUUGAUAUGCAGUUGUUUCAAUACUUCCACCACCUGUCCCCAAGUUCCCACCACCACCUCACCCUUGCGUCUAUGCAUCUCCCCCUCCUCCUUACUACUACUAGAAAGCGGCCAUGAAUAGCUCAUGCUUUUAUGGUAAUCUCAUUUAUUUUUAAAACUGUACAUGUAAAGACUAGUAGUUCAGAAUUACAUUAAGCAUCAAAUUUAAGCACCGUGUUCUAUUUAAUUGCGUUCCUAUUGAUUAAGUGACAAAUAAAAGAGAUUGAUUAAUUUGUUCUUGUAGGAGAGGCGAAUGGUAUCCGAAUAAAGAAAGCAAGGGUUUGAUGGAAGGCUUACUUGGAGCAAGAUAGCGAUCAAUCGAGUUGCUGCGUUUUAUUCUCUUUUAUCUUUGUUUUUUAAGAAAAAUAAACUGCCACACGUAGAAACAGAAAAGUUCUUGUCAUUUUCAUGCAUAUGGAUUGUUGCUGUGUGUUUCAAUCAAUUCUCUGGCGUGUCAUUUGUAAUUUUCAACCUUCAUGCAUGCAAAUGCGAGACCUCUUUCGUAUAAUAAAAUUAGGGGAUUGUCACUUUCCCCCUACAGUAAUUAACAUAUAUUAUUUAUUCUCUUACUAUUUUUAUAAUGGCCAAAAACCCACUGACAACAUAAGUUUACAAUAUUACCUUUAUUUUUAACUACUCUUUUAUUUACAUUUAUUAUAAAUUAAAUAAAUUACAUGAAUAGAAACUAAAUAAAAAAAUUAAGUAUUAAAAAUAAGAAAUAUAUGUUGAUAUGAGGAAAAAAAUUAAUAAUAAAAUUUUUUUCUUGUAAUUAUUUAUUUUGUGAACAUUUUCUUAUAACAUUUUGUAAUAUUUUAAAAUUAAAUGUAAAAAGUAUAGGCAAAAUAUUUUAUUAUUUAUCUUAUAAUAAAUUGUUAUUUGUCAUUCAAAUUUUCUUAUAAUAAUUUUUUUUAUCAUUUUAUAAUAACUUUCUUAUAUAUUUAUUAUAAGAAAAUUUUCACAAAAUAAAUAAGUACAAGAAAAAAAAUUUAUUAUUAAUUUUUUUCUCAUAUCAAAACAUAUAAUAAUUUUUUUCUCAUAUCAAAACAUAUAUUUCUUGUUUUUAAUUCCUAAUUUUUUAUUUGAUUUCUAUUCAUGUGAUUUAUUUAAUUUGUAAUAAAUAUAAAUAAAAGAGUAAUUGAAAAUAAAGGUAAUGUUGUACACUUAUGCUAUCAGGGGAAGUUUUGGCCAUUAUAAAAAUAGUAUGGGAAAAAUAGUAUAUGUUGAUUACUAUAGGAGGGAAAUUAGCAAUCUCCCAAUAAAAUUAAUAUACUUCCCAAGACCGUCUUAUCUUGCGUUGACUUUUUACGUUCCUUUGGUGAUGAUUUUGACGUUUGAAAUUGAUGACUAUUGUUUUUGUAAACUCUGCAUGGAUUUUUCGUGCAACUACAGAGCGCAUUAACGAGAGACUUAUUCAUGAGGGUCCAUGCAGAUCAGUGUCUAAUUAACGAAUAAUUAAUAUAACUUAAAAAAUAUAUAGUUAACAAUUUUUAUGGGUCAUGCUCAAUUGCAGAUGUUCGUACAAAAUUUCUUGCUAAUGUAUACUUGAGUAUGAUAAUAAGUUUUAAUCAUUAUUAAUAAUUCACUUGAUAAUAUUAAACAAAUUUUCAUAUCAAUUAAGUUACAAAAUUUCUAUGACAAAUUUCCACGUACUGGAACCAUGCAAAAGGGCUUUAUUCAAACAAAGCUGCAUAGCCGUUGGCAAUUAAAAUAAUUUAUCAAUUAAGUUAAGUAGUAAGAAUUUUAUUGUGGAUUCGAUUAAUUAUUUCAAGGAAAAUUCUAUCGAUAAUGCCGUAACGAAAAUUACACAUAAAAUUAGUAAAUGUAAAGUAAAACCAGUAAAUUCAUAAAAAAUUAUUAAUUAUUUAAAAAAUUAAUAUUGUUUUUACAUAAUUUUAGUGCAAAAUAUUUUAUUUAGUUACAAAAAAAAUUUCUUUAAUUAAACAAAAAAAUUAUACAGAAAAAAAGUGGAAUACGUUUUAUUGAAUUGGUUACCAUAAAUUCUGUAAUUAUUCUAGGACAUUUGUAUACAUUUUUUUCUCAUUUUCUAUAAUGACAUCUAUUUAUUACACAUGUUAAUUAAGCGCAAUUAUUUAUCUUGAUGUGGAUCAAGUAAAAAUAAAAGAAAAGAUAUAUCAAUCAAAUUAGAUAUAAUUUUGAAUACUAUGUAUACUUUAUGUAGUUUCAAACUUUUUACUUGUAUUUGGAGACCAUUUAAGAUUGUUGUUGAAGAAGUGUAGAAAGAUGUAAAAUAACGUCAUCUUACAACAAUUAUAAUGAUAUCUAUUUAUUACACAUGUUAAUUAAGCACAAUUAUUUAUCUUGAUGUGGAUCAAGUAAAAAUAAAAGAAAAGAUAUAUCAAUAAAAUUAGAUCUAAUUUUGAAUAGGGAGAUUGCCAAUUUUCCCCCUACAGUAAUCAACAUAUACCAUUUUCCCCCCUACUGUUUUUAUAAUGGCCAAAAACCCCCCUGAUAGCAUAAGUGUAUAUUAUUACUCUUAUUUUCAACUACUCUUUUAUUUAUAUUUGUUAUAAAUUAAAUAAAUCACAUGAAUAGAAACCAAAUAAAAAAUUAAGCAUUAAAAACAAGAAAUAUAUGUUUUGAUAUGAGAAAAAAAUUAAUAAUAAUUUUUUUCUUGUACUUAUUUAUUUUGUGAAAAUUUUCUUAUAAUAAAUAUAUAAGAAAGUUAUUAUAAAACGAUAAAACCAAUUAUUAUAAGAAAAUUUGAAUGACAAAUAAAAAUUUAUUAUAAUAUAAAUAAUAAAAUAUUUUGUCUAUACUUUUUACAUUUAAUUUUAAAAUAUUACAAAAUGUUUAUUAUAAGAAAAUGUUCACAAAAUAAAUAAUUACAAGAAAAAAAUUUUAUUAUUAAUUUUUUUUGCUCAUAUCAAAUCAUAUAGUUCUUAUUUUUAAUACUUAAUUUUUUUAUUUAUUUUCUAUUCAUGUAAUUUAUUUAAUUUAUAAUAAAUAUAAAUAAAAGAGUAGUUAAAAAUAAGGGUAAUAUUGUAAACUUACACUGUCAGGGGGUUUUUGGCCAUUAGAAAACAACAAGGGGGUAAAUGGUAUAUGUUAAUUACUGUAGAGGGGAAAGUGACAAUCCCCCUUUUGAAUAUUAUGUAUACCUUAUGUAGUUUCAAACUUUUUACUUGUAUUUGGAGACCAUUUAAAGUUGUUGUUGAAGAAGUGUAGAAAGAUGAAAAAUAACUUCAUCUUACAACAACUGUGAAAGAUAUUAAAAUAAUAUUUUUUCAAAAUCCAAUUUUUAGCAUAAAUUUCAUCCUUAAUUAAACAUCACAUGUAUUAUAUAAAUGAAAAACUAACAUUAUUCAAUUUAAAUUAAAAAAUAAUAAAUAUAUGAGGUAAUAAAUAUUAUAACGAGUUUUUAUUUUAAAAUUGUAAACUUUUGUUUCUGACAGUAACUCUUAUAUUAAUUUACUUAUUUUGCCUUUUAUUCAUAAGUUUUAUGCAUAAUCUACAAACUUUAUGUUUUAUUUUGCAUUUAAUGUUGAUUUACCUUUUUUAUAUUAUAUUUAUAAGUUUUCAUUUGAUUUACCAGUAAUACAUCAAUUUAUCAAUUUUAUAGUAAUUUACUUAUUUUACCUUCUUUUUACAAUUCUUAUGUUUCAUUUUCAAAAUUUAUGUUUUAUUUUACAGUUAUUGAUGAUUUACUAGUUUUAUAUUAUGUUUGCAAGUUUUUGUUUUAUUUACUAGUAAUAAAUUAAUGGGUAAUUUUUAAUUUAGUCCUCAUGUUUUCGAGAAAAAAAUUCAGAGACUAGAAAUUUACUAAAUGAAUCAAUUAAAUUAUUUCAAGCACAAACUAAUGUCAAUCAAGUCCUUAACUUAAUUGCUUAGUUAAAAAUAUUAACAACAUUGAGGAUAUUUUAGUAAAACAACAAUUGAGCCCUUCCUCAUUCUUUAUUUUUGACAUGUGGCAAUAGUUUAAAGUAAAUUCAAUUAACCUAAUUAAGUUAAGGAUCAGUUCUUGCAAACGAAAAAAAAAAAAAAACCUACAAAAACUGCCAUAAUCUUCGUGUGAGAGGAGAGAUCGAGAGAAUGUGGGAUGGUGCCAAAAAUGUUGUAUAAAUCUACUAUGAUUUUGACCAAAGCUUUGUUAGCAUUUGUUGAGUUCAAGUACUGGAGAGAACCUAAUUAUAAAGGUCAGUAACUCUAUUUUUUUAGUGAUUUUUGCAAGCGUUUUUUGAUAAAAUUGUUUCCAUAUUUAGUGAUCGUUGUGAAAAAUUAGGUUUUUCAAGUCUAUUUUUCUAAAUGACAAACUAUGUUUAAUUACUGGUGGUUUUUUUUUUAUUGAAUGUGGUAUUUUGUUAAUACAUUGUUUUUAAUUUGCUCUUCAUGUAAUUAUUAGACCAAAUACGCCAUAAUUAUAUUUGUAUUCAUUUCAACCAAUUGGUAUUGUUAUAUUAAUAAGAUUGAAUUCAUUGUAUUUGCUUCUUUGUUCAUGCAAAAAUUGAAUUCUAUGUGUUCUUAUGAGUGGUAAUUUUUCUAUAUAUUAGAAUAAAUUCACAAUAGUUGCUAAUUUCUUUCUUUUUGCUGGGUUAUUUUUUCUUUUUAGUUUUUAUUUUUUAUAUGUAUUAGAUUGAAUUUGCUUUUGUACUUUUUUUAGCCGAAUUACAUGUAUAUUUCAUUUAGGUUAAGUUUUUUUGUUCUUUGCUAAAUAAAAUUGUAUUGGUUUAUCCUUUUUUGUUGCAAUACUUUUUGUUUUAAAUUGAUGCAAGUAGCCAUGUUACCUUUUGUUUUUCAGUUAAAAUUAAUGGGGUGGUGUAUGAGAUAGGAUAUAGAGAACCAGAGGAAUAUAAGAUUAUUAGGUUGUUUCAUGAAAUUCAAGAAUUCAUGGUUAAGCAUGGACAUAAUGAAAUGGAUAUGAUUGAAAUUUCUAUUGUAUUGCCAUGGACUACAAGUAGGCAGAAAAAGCUAAUUUCAAACGAUAGUGAAUUGUAUUGGGUUUUUUAGGAGUUUUUUUUUUUAUCAAUAGUUGUCAUGUCAUUGAGUUUGAGGUGCACACUGGGUCAGGUGGUCAGUCAUGUCAUGAAAAUGUUGUAAUAGGAUCUGAAAAUCUUAUCAAUAUAGCGGUUGGGUGGGUAGUGAUAAGUUUGAAAAAUUUAGUGAGGAUGGCUUUAUCGGAGGGCUCUCAUCUAAUGAAGAGAAUGGUCUCUCACAUAUGUAUAAAUCCAUUGUUGAUAAUGAGUAGAAACCAAAUCCAAAUAGUUUAAUUAGUCUAAAAGUAGGAAAUACAUUUGAAUCUGUUGCAUUAUUAAGAGAGGUUAUAAUGAAGUAUGCAAUCGAAGAGGGUUUUUAGUUGAAUAGGAUUAAAAAUGAUGGUGUUAGGUAUUAUGUCAAUCUAAAAUGCACUUGGAAACUUAAUGCUUCAUCGAUGGUUGACGGGAUAACUUUUAAAAUUAGGUAUAUUAAAGGGAAACAUGAUUGUCAGAUUAAAUAAGUUAACAAAGAUGCAACAGCACAUUGGAUGAUGUACAUGUCAUAAUGAGAGAGCUAAAAGAUAAACAUAGGAUUGAAUGUGAUAAACAAGAACUAUGCAGGGCAAAAGAAAUUGCACUAAAAAACCUAGGUCUUGACCAUGUUGCUUGCUAUGGAAAGCUUUUGAAAUAUGCUCACAUUCUAAUGAAAAUGAGUAGAGGUGCUUGUGUCAAGCUAAAGUUGAUAGGCCAUUGUCAAAUAGCCUAGUUUUUCAAAGGUUUUUUUAUCAUUUCCCGCACUUAAAGUGGGGUACCUAACUGGGUGUAGACCUUUCAUAAGAUUGGAUGGGUGUCACUUGAAUGGGCCAUAUAGGGGAGUAUUGUUAUCUGUUGUUGCAUUAGAUGCUGACAGUAGAAUUUUGCCACUGGCUUUUUGCAUAUGUGAGGCAGAAAACUAUGAUAGUUGGGGUUAUUUUUUUUAUCUUUUUUGUAUGAAUUCAUUGGGGCCGAUGAUCAUAGACCUGUGACUAUUAUUAGUUAUAGACAAAAAGGUCUUUUAUGGCGACUAAAAAAAUAUUAGCCUAAUGCUAGCACUAGAUAUUGUGCUAGGCAUAUCUUUGCCAAUUGGAAGUGCAGGUUUCCUGGUUUGAAUGUGAUGGGGUUAUUCUGGAAAGCUUGUAGGGCUGCAAAUCAAUAUGACUUUGAGAGGGCAAUGAGUUAAAUUAGGGCUAAAGACCAAAAUUGUUGUUGCUUAAAGAUUGUGGGAAUAUGAGAUAUUUCCUUGGAAACCAGCAUUGGCUCUAAGUUAUUGCUUAAAGAUGUCAAACAUGUACCAUAUAUUCUUCUUAAUUUGAUCUCUACAGGCAAGCUUGAUGAUGAUGGUUAUACCAACUAAUUUGGUGAAGGAGUAUGUAAGCUCACCAAAGGCUCCUUAGUGUUAGUUAAAGAGAGGAAAGUAAACACCCUCUAUGUGUGAUAACUCUAUGAAACGAGAGUUAUUAUAGAAAUUCUAAACUUAAAUCAAUAUUACUUACAGAGUAAAUGAUGUGUUUCUAUUGUAUUUUUGUUACAUUGUGUAUAAACAUUCAUUUUAGUUUAGUCUUAAUAAAUUUUGCUUAAUUUAGAAUAAUUCGUGCUUAAAUUGUGUGCAUAAUUAUAGGUGUCUAGAAGCUCAUAUCUCAUGGAAGGAGUGUUGAUGCAAUAGGCUUGUAAAAAUGAGGAAGAACAUGGCUACAAAAGAAUUGAAACAAAUCUGGAAUAAUGUAGUGUUGUAGCCGUUCUUGUAGCAACCAUUGCUGUAGCAAUCCUGGAACAACGAUAGAGAAAAUUUAGCACGAGAUACUUGUAGAAUCAAGAUCUGCAAUUUCUUAAUUUGACUUAUGCGCGCCCUGGGCUUCUGUUUACCCUAGUUUUCAGUUAUAAAAAGAGCACGCAUCAUAUGGUAAAAGGGGCGGUGAAUUAACAGCAAAGAAAUCAAGAGGAAAAGAAUGAAAAAUCAGAAUUCAAGGGAGAACAAGUCUGCACCAGUGAAGAUAUUGGCAUAACUAUUUGGAUUCAAUUUUCAUCGUUCUUUACUUAUCCCUUUUCUUACUCUUUGAUUGAACCGAUGGAUUUCAUCGCUGAUACUUUGUUGUUUGUUUUUCUUUUCCAAAGUAUGAACUAAAUUUGAUUGUAAUUGAGUGACAAACAAUCUCAAUGGGUUCUUGACUGUUCUUAUGAGUUAUUAAAAGAUUGCUGUAGCAUUUUGCUGUAAUAGCUUAUAUUAGAAUUAUUAUUUCGGUUGACCUCCCAUUUAAUGGUUCAAGUUAAGAGAGAGCCACAAAAUGGCAUGUCUUAGUGGAAAUUAUUAGAGUAAUACUUGAUCUUAAUUUAAGUUUUCUGGAUUGAGUUUAACUUGAGCCCCAAAAGAGCCACACUUGAGUUAAGAUUUGUGAAGAACUAGAUAUAGGGAUUCACCUUAUAGGGUAGAGGGGGUGUAUGUUCAUAAUGCCAUACCUUAGGUGAAAUGACAACUGGUCAUUGUUAGAGUGCUUAAGGGUAUGAGAAGUCCAACAAGCGACAGCUGAGGAUGCAAAAUAAUUUUGCACUGUGCUGUUGGAAUUGCUGUAAUAACUGGUGUUUAUUUGAACAGAACAGUCAGCCCAUGAAUAGAGUUUGAUCAUUCAGCUACCUCAUUCUCAUUAAAUUCUUCUUUACGCAAUUCAUCUAAUUUACUUUAUUACUGCAUUUAUUUUAUUAAAAUUGUUAAUUUCGGUAGUAAUAAACUUUAAUUAGAUUUCUCUUUAGAUAAAAGAAAUUUGCACUGUCGUGAUUGCUAUAGCAUUUCUAGUAAUAUCAGUUCAUGUGGAGACGAUCUUGAAUAUUCAUCAUUUUAUUACUUGUUGUGUACACUUGCACAUGAUAUCAAUAGCAAUUGAGUUAAAUUAAAUAACAAGUUUUUGGCGCCGUUGCCGGAGAUUGAUUGUUUAUUUUUGAAGUGUGAAGUCAAUCUUGACAAAUGCCAACUUGAUCUAAUUCAUUCUAUUUAUUGACAGAUCAUGACUUGCAUGGGCAAAGGCAGAUCUGUUGAAUUUCAAUUUGAUCCUGAGAUUGAAAGGACUGUAAGGAGAUUGCGAAGAGAGUGAAGAAAUUCAAAAACUGUUUCAAAAAUGGAUAACUUGCAAGAUGUGGGAAACUUGGAUCCUCACGGGCCACUACAACCUGUCAAUGUUCAAGAGGGGCAAAUGGGCACGUUAAUCAAAGACAACCAAGCAACAACAAUAUCAUUUACAUGGAAGACGAUAGAGAUAGGGUUAUCAGAGAUUAUGUUGUGUUAACUCCUUAAGUUGUACAUCUUGGAAUAGUCAGACCUGAAGUGGAAGCCGCCAACUUUGAACUUAAACCGGUAAUGUUUCAAAUGCUACAAAUAGUGGGUCAAUUUAAUGGACUGUCAUCUGAAGAUCCUCAUCUCCAUCUUAAGUUUUUUUUGGAAGUAAGUAAUGCUUUUAAAACUGCUGGAACAACGCAUAAUGCUUUGAGACUGAGGCUUUUUCCUUACUCCUUAAGAGAUCGAGCAAGAGCAUGGUUGAAUUCCUUACCAUCUGAUUCCAUCACUACAUGGAAUGACUUGGCUGACAAAUUCUUAAUGAAAUAUUUUCCACCAACCAAGAAUGAAAAAUUGCAAAAUGAGAUCACCUCUUUUCAUCAACUUGAAGAUGAGAGCUUGUUUGAGGCUUGGGAGAGAUUUAAAGAGUUUCUCAGAAGAUGUCCUCAUCAUGGCAUUCCCUGUUGCAUACAGCUAGAAACCUUUUACAAUGGGUUGAAUCCAAGUACAAGAUUGAUUGUCGAUGCUUCAGCAAAUGGAGCCCUAUUAUCCAAAUCUUACACUGAAGCUUAUGAAAUUUUGGAGAGAAUUCCUAACAAUAACUACCAGUGGCCAUCAACUGAAAAACUGUAGCAAGAGAAGCAGCAGGGGUACAUAACAUAGAUGCAAUUACAGCACUGUCAGCUCAAGUAACAUCAUUGACUAACAUGGUAAAAGCCAUGACUUCUACUUCUACAGUAGUAAAGCAAGUUGCUGAACUAUCUUGUGUGUAUUGUGGUGAGGAGCAUGUAUUUGACAAACUGUCUAGGAAAUCCAGCAUCAGUAAACUAUGUGGGAAACUUCAACCGACAGCCCUAGAACAACCCAUAUUCAAGUACUUACAACCCUGGAUGGAAUCAACACCCAAAUUUCUCAUGGAGCAAUCAAAAUCAGCAUGCUUCAGCACCUAGUGGACAGAACAAACAUGCUCAUCCACUUGGUUUUCAUCAGCAAAAUUAAGAGCAAAAACACACUAGCCAUGAUCAAAUCACCUCAUUGGAAACACUUUUUAAGGAAUGUAUCGUAAAGAAUGAAGCAAUUGUGCAAAAUCAAGCUGUAUCUCUGAGAAACCUGAAAAACCAAAUUGGACAGUUUGCCACAGCAAUGAGUAGUAGAUCUUAGGGAAGUUUACCCAGCAAAACAGAAGAUCCAAGAAGAGAGGUAAAAAACAUUGUAAAGUAAUCAACUUAAGAUAUGGGAAGAAUGUUGAUAUUGCUGUUGAUGUGACUAAAAAGAGGUUGGAACUUAACUCCUCACAAGAACCACCUCAAGAUGAAAUGAUGUUACAGCAACCCAGCCACUAAGAUACUGGCACUAGUGGUCAAGCUACAGCAACCUUGGAAGAAAAUCACCCAAUACCUAUUGAAGAAGAUGUUGCAACACCAGUGGUGACAAAUUACAAUAAAUCAAAUGAGCAGAUAUUGGUACCUCUUGAAGUUGUACAACAAUUUAGGCAUCCACCUCCUUUCCCACAGAGAUUCCAGAAACAAAAACAAGACUAAUAGUUUAGCAAAUUCCUGAAAGUGCUGAAACAGUUACACAUCAACAUACCUUUUGUGGAAGCAUUAGAGCAAAUGCCUAAUUAUGUGAAAUUUCUAAAAGAUAUUUUAACAAGAAAAAGAAGGUUGGGAGAAUUUGAAACUGUUGCUUUAACACAGGAAUGCAGUCACAUGUUUCAGAGUAAGAUUCCUAAAAAAUUAAAGGAUCCAGGAAGCUUCACAAUAUCAUGUUCAAUUGGAACUAAGUACAAUGGCAGAGCACUCUGUGACUUGGAGCCAGCAUUAAUCUAAUGUCAUUAUCUCUAUUUAAGCAAUUAGGAGUAGACUUUGAGUCUGAUAAAGAGGUACCAAUUAUAUUUGGAAGACCUUUCCUGGCAACCAGGAAGACUCUGAUAGAUGUUCAGAAAUGAGAGCUAACCAUGAGGGUGAAUGACCAACAAGUCACCUUCAAUGUAUUAGAAGCUAUGAAGAGUCCUGAUGAGGCAGAAGAUUAUAAUUUUUUUAGUGUUGUGGACCUUGUUGUGGCAGACAGAAUAAAUAGAUGCUGCAGUAAAAAGGUUAUCAAAGCUGCCACCUUUGAAAGCUUUGAAGAAGAAAAUGUUACAGCAAACCAGAUAGAUUGGAUGGUAGAAAGGCAAUCUAAAAGACAUAGCAGAUUUAUCGAACCUCUAAAUCUUUCAAACAGGGACAUAAAGACAACUUUACCAUCUAUUGAAUCAACUCCUACUCUUGAAUUAAAAUUGUUACCUUCACAUUUGAAAUAUUCAUAUCUUGGUGAGAACAAUACACUUCCGGUAAUCAUUUCAUAUUCUUUAGAUGCAGAUCAAGAAAGAAGUCUGGUAUAUGUGCUUAGGAAAUAAAGAAAAACAAUUGGAUGGACUAUGACAGACAUUAAACGGAUCAGCCCAUCCAUAUGCAUACAUAAAAUUCUGUUAGAAGACUGCUAUAGCAAUUCAGUAGAGCAACAGAGAAGGCUAAACCCCAUUAUGAAGGAAGUUGUAAAGAAAUAAAUCAUCAAAUGGCUGGAUGUUGGGAUCAUAUACCUGAUAUCAGACAGUUCAUGGGUGAGCCCAGUACAAUGUGUUCCAAAGAAAUAAGGAAUAACAGUAAUAGAAAAUGAAAAGAAUGAACUUAUUCCUACAAGAACAAUGACUGGAUGAAGGGUAUGUAUGGAUUAUAAGAAGCUCGACAAAGCCACACGGAAGGAUCACUUCUACUUUCAUUUAUAGAUCAAAUGUUAGACAGAUUUGCUGGAAAAUAAUAUUAUUGUUUCCUAAAUGGGUAUUUAGGUUACAACCAAAUUGUUAUACCCCCAGAAGAUCAGGAAAAGACUACAUUCACCUGUCCUUAUGGAACUUUUGCCUUUAAAAGAAUGCCCUUUGGUCUGUGUAAUGCUCCAGCAACUUUCCAGAGAUGUAUGAUGUCUAUUUUCUCAGAUAUGGUGGAGCAAACAUUGGAAGCCUUCAUGGAUGAUUUCUCAGUUUUUGGAGAAACAUACACUGAUUGUUUACAUAACUUGGAAGAAGCUCUUAAAAAAUGUGAGAUGACUAACUUAGUACUCAAUUGGGAAAAAUGCCACUUCAUGGUGCAAGAAGGCAUAAUGUUGGGUCAUAGAGUGUCCAAGAAUGGCAUAGAGGUAGAUAAAGCAAAAAUAGAAGUGAUAGAUAAACUGCCACCUCCCACUUCAGUCAAGGGUAUUAUAAGUUUUUUGGGACAUGUUGAAUUCUACAGAAGAUUCAUAAAAGACUUCUCCAAAGUAGCUAAACCAUUAUGCUCACUACUAGAACAUGACAAGCCUUUUCAUUUUGAUAAAGACUGUCUUUAAGCUUUUAAAGAAUUGAAGAAAAUUUUGAUCAUUGCACCAAUGGUUAUAACACUAGAUUUGACUCUAUCUUUUGAGCUGAUGUGUGAUGCCAGUGACCACUCUGUUGGGGCAGUGCUGGGGCAGAGAAAGAAUAAGAUUUUCCACUCUAUAUACUAUGCCAGUAAAACUCUUGUUCAAGCUCAGAUUAAUUACACCACUACAGAAAAAGAGCUGCUAGUAGUAGUAUUUGAUUUCAAUAAGUUUAAAGCUUACUUGGUGGGUACUAAAGUGACAAUCUACACAGAUCAUGCAGCCAUCAAGCACUUAAUCUCAAAGAGAGAUGCCAAACCAAGAUUAAUAAGAUGGGUAUUAUUGCUUCAAGAGUUUGAUUUGGAAAUUAAGGAUAGAAAGGGGACUGAAAAUCAAGUAGCAAACCAUCUAUCGAGGCUGAAAGCAAAUACGAGCACAUUGACUAAACAAGACAUCACUGAAACAUUUCCUGAUGAACAACUGUUAGUGCUAUAACAUGCACAGAUGCUACAGCAACCGAGAUCUCCAUGGUAUGGAGAUUUUGCUAACUACUUAGUAAGUGGAUUGCUACCACCUGGGUUGAAUUUUCAGUAGAAAAAGAAAUUUCAUUUUCAGUAGAAAAAGAAAUUUCAUUUUCAGUAGAAAAAAAAUUUUCAUUUUCAGUAGAAAAAAAAUUUUCAUUUUCAGUAGAAAAAGAAAUUUUCAUUUUCAGUAGAAAAAGAAAUUUUUUCAUGAUGUUAAAAGCUACCAGUGGGAUGAUCCAUACUUGUAUAAGUUAUGCUUAGAUCAGGUAAUCCGAAGAUGUGUUUCAGAGGAAGCAAUUUCACAUAUACUGCAAUAUGGCCAUGCUGCAGCAUAUGAAGGACAUUUUGGUGGACAAAGAACAACUGCUAAAGUUCUACAAUCAGGUUAUUACUGGCUUUCUAUUUUUAAGGAUACUUAUGAGUUUGCUAAACGUUGUGACAGAUGCCAAAAGACAGGAAACAUAACUCAAAGACAUGAAAUGUCAUUAACAAACAUUCUGGAAGUGGAGAUUUUUUAUGUAUAGGGAAUAGACUUCAUGGGCCUUUUCCCACCAUCCUUUGAGAAUUUUUAUAUCCUGGUUGCUGUGGAUUAUGUCUCCAAGUGGGUAGAAGCUGCAGCAUUACCUAUCAACGAUGCAAGAGCAAUAGUGAAUUUUCUUCAGAAAAAUAUUUUUUCCAGGUUUGGCACUCCACGAGCAAUUAUUAGUGAUGAGGGUACUCAUUUCUGCAACAAAGCAUUUGCUGCAGCAAUGGCCAAAUAUAGAGUCAAACACAAAAUUGCGACAGCAUAUCACCCACAAUCCAAUGGCCAGGCAAAAGUAUCUAAUAGGGAAAUUAAGAAGAUUCUAGAAAAGGUAGUGAAUCCUUCAAGAAAGGAUUGGUCAUUGCGAUUACAUAAAUCUUUAUAGGCUUUCAGAACAGCAUAGAAGACACCACUUGGCAUGUCUCCCUACCAAAUUGUGUAUGGAGCACAAAGCAUAUUGGGCACUGAAGCAAUUAAAUUAGGAUAUACAUGCUGCAACAGAGCAGAGGAAACUUCAACUAUGUGAACUUGAUGAAUUACGGUUAUUCUCAUAUGAAAAUGCAAGAAUCUAUAAGGAGAGAACAAAACAAUGGCAUGACAAGCACAUCCAAUAAAGAAAAUUAAUCCCUGGUCAACUAGUUCUGCUCCAUAAUACUAGGUUAAGACUAUUUCCAGGAAAGCUGAAAUCUAGAUGGUCUGGACUUUUCAAGCUGCUCAGAAUUUACCCUCAUGGGGCUGUUGAACUCUUAGAUGGAAAGACAGGCCAAGAAUUCAAAGUUAAUGGGCACAGAGUUAAGCAUUACAUGCAUUCAGUUACAGAUUGUUCAAAUGAGGUCGUACUCCUUAGUAAACCGGCAUUGUGAGCAUUCAAGAAAGGUCACGUUGAAGGACCUUAAAUCAAACAUUGAAUGGGAGGCAACCCAUUGCUGAGGCAGUCAUUUCAAAUGAAGUGGAUCCUCCAUGUUUUUGUUGUAGUAUUUAUUUAUUUAUUAUUUUUCUUAGUUAGGAUUGUUUAAUUUUUAUCUUUUAUUGUUUUAUUUUAAAAAAAAACGAAACAUGCCAAGUCACGCAAUUCUUAGAGUUGGAUUCAAUACUGACAAUUGGUGUUGUAAUAUUAACAGGUUACAAAGGCAAGUUACUUGACAGCAACCAUCUGAGGAGAUUGUUGUGCAGAUUGCUAGAGCAUACAUUUUGUUGCUGCAACAACCAAUUUUAUUAUUACAGUAACUUAACUACGGAGCCUCACAUUUUACCGUUGGAGAUAACAUGUGACAGCUAGUUGGGUGAACUCAGAUAAAGAUUGGGGAAGAAUGCAUAAUCUCUUAAAUAACUGCAUCAAUAUCUCUUUCCUAUUUUUAUGGGAUAUGCUUAAUAAAUUCAAAAAUUCUUCCCUAAUUUAUCUCUUUUACCAAAUUUAUUUUAUUUAUUUUGCACCUAUAUAAGAGUUUCAUUGUGCAUGUUGACCUCUAACACUAUUUUCUUUUCCCUUCACAGUCACAACCCCUCUAUUUUAUAACCUCUGCUCUUCGUUUCACUCUUGAACAUAUUACCACAGUUAUCCUACUACUGCAGUAAUGCCAAGGUAUAAAAGGACAGCCAGCCGACUAAACGAUCUAUCACAAUUUUAAAGUUACCAUGCGGAAGAGAAGUAUGAAGAAUUUAUUGAACCGCGCAAGAUUUUGGAAGAAAAAGGGCUUCAGUUCCCACCUCAACCCUCUAGAAUUGUGCAAUCAUUAUACGAUGCUGCAGCAAAGCACGGGUGGCUGGAGUUUUGUAACCACCCCCGAGAUCCUGUGUUGGAGCUAUUUGCAGCACUUGGAGGACCACCUACACCAAUUUGUUGUAUAUAUAAAAGUACCCAUAACAAUUUCCCUGAUUCACUGCUACAACAGUACAAUUUUGGUACCUCCAUUAUAGAAGUCAGUGAAGAUGUUGCUGACACAGAUAAACAUGAGGAAGAAACAGCAGCAGAACAGCAAGCAGAUGCUGAUAUAGAUGCUGAUAACCAGUCAGACCAGCAUGAAGAAUAAUGUGUCCAGUCUACAAUUGAUAGUUCCCCGACAGAGGAGGAGGAAAAGCAUGAGAAAGAACUCGAAGAACCCUCAGCCAGGACCUUUUCCAAGUCCAGGAAAAAGCACAUCAUACGAGAAAAGGAAGAUGAACCUGCAGAGGAGCCUCCCAUUCCAUUCCUCUCUCGAAAGGGCAAAGAGAAAGUAAUUACCCCUCCUGCAUCUGACGAUGAAGCCGAGCACAUUGAUGCAGAAUUGGAAGUUGCAGCAGCCAGGGUUACUCGUACACCCAUCGAGACAAAGCAUAUGCUUGAUAUCAUUGCCGCAAUCAUGACUGAGGGGUAUACAGUCGAAGACCCAACUCCAGCUCCCUCACGGCAAACCCCCAGCAAACCUAUUCUCGCUAGUCCUAAAGGACCCAGCAAAAGAAAGGGGGGCACUUCUGGAGGCAUUGCUGCAGUAGACACACCAGAGCCAAAGAGGACCAUAUCUGUUUUGUCCCAGCCAGCUGCACCCACUGCAACUCCUCCUACUAGCCCAUCGCAAAGAAAGAAAAAGUCAUUGCCAACUACCUCACCGCAAGAAUCUCCUAAAGACCGACUGCGGAGCGCCUCCAAAAAGCGGUGAAUUGGUUAUAAUUUAUUGCAGCAGUAUUUCUAGCACCAGGGGAGUACCACUACCCGCUAGUUUAUUUUACUUCUUCAUGCAACAACUUUUUCUUCAUUUAGUUUUAAUUUUCUGAUUUAUUUUGCAUGUCUUUUUAUUUAGUAUAUGCAUAUCUGGUUUAUAUGGUUUUGUUUUGUGUGCCUGUGAAGACACAACACCUUUCAAGUUUUGGGGGGUUGUGCUAUCAUAUAGUGUGUUAUUGAGUGCAUUGCAUGUGUUGUGGUGUUGUUUGUGAAGUGAAGCUCUGUAUCUACUGCUUAUGUAUGGAUUUGAAAGCCUAAUGAAGAUAAAUUGAGUGUUACUCAGUAUGUAUGAGAAUGCCCAGUAGGGAUAGUCAUAGAUGGAGAUUGAAAUUAUGUCCCGACACUUAGACUUUGGUUGAAAUUCAUGAGACUGCUGCAGCAAAAUCAAGAAAACUGCAAAGAGUAGAAAAUAUAUCAAGUUUAGGGGAAAUGUGUGUGUUGAGUUGUGCUUAUUAAAGUCUGUUCCAAUGGCUUAAAUGGUUGAGUAACUACGGCUGAGUAUGUACCCCAUAUGCAGACUUGAGUUAAAAAGCAACAAGAGUUAUGAGCAUUGUUGUAGCAAUUGAAAAAAAAAAGAAAAAAAAAAGAAGUCCUCUGUCUGAGAAAUUGAGUAGCCAUGUCUGUUAAUGAGCCCCAUGUUCAGCCUUGAGUUAAAGAUAUCUUUAGAUAAGACUAUGUUAUGACCAUUGCUAUAGCAACUCUGACAUGUACGUUGAGUAAGUAAUUGGGUGUCAUCAUUACAAGUGAUAGGCAUUCACAUGAAAGUUCAAUGUUGUAUUGAAGGGAGUGAAUAUAUAGAUAUAUAUAUAUAUAUAUAUAUUGUUUGUUGAAGCACAAUUUAUGUUUAUUUGUGAAUUAUGCUCUCCCAUAUAUGAAUAUAUUUGUGUUCUACCUUUGAAUUACAUGCAAUAUCUCUGUAAUGUUGUAGCAUCUCUGGACUUUGAUCAAAGUGGCACACACAUUUUGGACAGAAUGCAGCCUAAGUCUAGAACUGAACUGUUAUGGCUAUUUUGCAUGAUUAAGAGUGUGAUCUGAGGGUGGAAGAAUCCUUGCAACUUUGAUGAUAAAGCUGAGCUAUUUGUUGCAUGAUUGAGUGAUUGAAGUGUUAGCAUUGUUGUCAUUACUUAAAAACAAGUAAUGGUUUAAGUUUGGGGGUGUGAUAACUCUAUGAAAUGAGCGUUAUUAUGGUAAUGCUAGAAUUAAAUCAAUAUUUACUUAGAGAGUAAAUAAUGUGUUUCUAUUAUAUUUUUCUAUUGUAUUUAAUAAAUUUUACUUAGUUUAGAAUAAUUUGUGCUUAAAUUGUGUGCAUAAUUGUAGGUGUCCAGAAGCUCAUAUCUCAUGGAAGGAGUGCUGAUGCAAUAGGCUUGUAAAAAUGAGGAAGAACAUGGCUACAAAAGAAUUGAAACAAAUCUGGAACAAUGUAGUGUUGUAGCCGUUGCUGUAGCAACCAUUACUGUAGCAAUCCUGGAACAACGACAGAGAAAAUUUAGCGCGGGAUACUUGUAGAAUCGAGAUCUGCAGUUUUCUAAUCUGACUUAUGCGCGUCUUAGGCUUUUGUUUACCCUAAUUUUCAGUUAUAAAAAGAGCACGCAUCAUAUGGUAAAGGGGGCGGUGAAUUAACAUCGAAUAAAUAAAUCAAGAGGAAAAGAAGGAAAAAUCAGAAUUCAAGGGAGAGCAAGUUUGCACUAGUGAAGAGAUCGGCAGAACUAUUUGGAUUCAAUUUUCAUCAUUCUUUACUUGUCCCCUUUCUUACUCUUUGAUUGAACCGAUGUAUUUCAUGGCUGAUACUUUGUUGUUUGUUUUUCUUUUCCAAAGUAUGAACUAAAUUUGAUUGUAGUUGAGUGACAAAUAAUCGCAAUGGGUUUUUGACUAUUCUUAUGAGUUGCUGAAAAAUUGAUGUAGCAUUUUGCUCUAAUAGCUUAUAUUACAAUCAUUAUUUCGGUUGACUUCUCAUUUAAUGGUUAAAGUUAAAAGAAAGCCGUAAAAGGGCCUGUAUUAGUGGAAAUUAUUAGAGUAAUACUUGAUCUUAAUUUAAGUUUCCUAAAUUGAGUUUAACGUGAGUGCCAAAAUAGCCACACUUAAGUUAAGAUUUGUGAAGAACUAGAUAUAUGGAUUCAUCUUGUAGGGUAGAGGGGGUGUAUGUUCAUAAUGUCAUACCUUAGGUGAAAUAACAACUGGUCAUUGUUAGGGUGCUUAAGGGUAUGAGAAGUCCAACAAGAGACAGUUGAGGAUGCAAAAUAAUUAUGCCCAUGAAGAGAGUUUGAUCAUUCAGCUACCUCAUUCUCUUUAAAUUCUUCUUUACGCAAUUCAUCUAAUUUACUUUAUUACUGCAUUUAUUUUAUUAAAAUUGUUAAUUUCAGUAGUAAUCAACUUUAAUUAGAUUUCUCUUUAGAUAAAAGAAGUUUGCACUGUCGUGAUUGCUGUAGCAUUUCUAGUAACAUCAAUCCAUGUGGAGACGAUCUUGAAUAUUCAUCACUUUAUUACUUGUUGUGUACAUUUGCAUAUGACAUCAAUAACAAUUGAGUUAAAUUAACCAACAAUGUGUUAGAAGCCAAGAUUAAGAAAGAAGAUGUGAAUGUGGCUAUAAAAGAUUCUGACAUUGAGACAUGGUAUAAAAAGUUUGGUCACAUUGGUGAAAAAGGGUUAGAAACUCUUGCCAGAAAAAGAUUUCUACCCAGCUUCGUAGAUAUGUCCCUCAAGACUUUUGCUCAUUCCUUAGCUGGAAAGACACACAGAGUAGCUUUUAAAAGGUUUUCUCCAUCUAGAAAGUCGCAAAUCCUUGAUUUGAUUCACACUGAUUUUUGCAUGAUGUAAAGUAGAUCAAUUGGAGGUGCACUUUAUUUUGUUACUUUUAUUGAUGACUAUUCUACAAAGGUGUGGGCUUUUGCUUUGAAAUCUAAAGAUCAAGUGCUUGAUAUAUUUAAGUUCUUCCAUACUUAUUUUGAGAGAGAGACGAGAAGAAAAUUAAAAUGCGUCAGGGUAGAUAAUGGUGGUGAGUAUAAAAGGCCAUUUGACCAAUAUUGCAGAUCCCAUAGAAUUAGACUUGAGAAGACCGUACUAAAACCCCACUGUAGAAUGGUAUUGCAGAAAUGAUGAACAGAACAAUUGAAAAGAGAGUCAGGUGUAUGCCUUCUGAUGCCAAGCUUCAUAAAUCCUUCUGGGCAGAGACUAUGCGUUCUGCAGUUGACUGGAUUAAAUUUUUCUCCUUCAGCUCCAUUGAUGGUGAUGUACCUGAGAUAGUUUGGACUGAAAUAUAUGUUUAUUACAAACACUUGAGAGUGUUUGGUUACAGAAUAUAUGUUCACAUUCAUAAGGAUGAAAGAUCGAAGCUUGAUGACAAAGCUAAAAAAUGCAUUUUCUUAGGCUAUGGGCAUAAAGAAUUUGGGUACAGAUUAUGGGAUCCAGUGCCAAGAAAAUUGAUCAGAAGUAAACAUGUUGUGUUCCUCGAAGAUCAAAUAGUUAGUGAUGCAGAGAAUAGUGAUGAGUCUCAGUCAUCUCUAAAGAUUCCUAUUAUUCUAACUUUAGUUUCUUCAUCUAUAGUUCAUAAUGAUCAUGGAGGAGCUGGAGAGGAUAGUAAUGAUGGUCCAGCAGAACUAGUUGACCAAGCACCUCCAGAACCACCUGCACCAUCAAUGGAGCCUGAAUUGAGAAGAUUUACUAGAGAACGGUGACCUUCCACCAGAUAUCCUCCACAUGAGUAUAUGAUGCUUACAGAUGAAGGGGAGCCAUAAUGUUUUGAAGAAGCCAUGUUUCAAAUAACUCACAAUAACGAUACAAGGCUAGACUGGUUGAUGGGGUACCUAGCAACUUCUUGUUGUGUGGGCUGAUCAGACUUUACUUUCUUAGUUUCUGAUUCUUCUUAUGCUUGCAUUGUUACAGCAUAUACGGAGGGUUGUGCCUUUUUACGCUUGUUGGAUGCCCUAGGAGUUCUGCUAGGAGAUUUGAUGGGAGGUUGUUGAGUAAUGCUUACUGUAGUAGUUUCCCCAGAUGUGAUUUUAGCAAUAAUAUCAGGGAAACUCUUAUUUGCUUCAUCAGUUUUUGUAGCCCUGGUAUCAGCUGCUUUAAUUUCUGCAUCAAUAUCAUCUUGAUCAUUGUCUGAUUCUUCAUCAGUCAGAACUUUUUGUUUACCUUUACUUAGAAACACUGUAAUCGGGGGUUCAUCAUCCUGCCCAUCCUAUGUCUCAUCUUCGUAAACUUUUAUGAUGUGCUUCUUUUUACGUUUAGGAGGUACUACUGGAGGUGCCUCAUCCUUCUACGUUGCUGAUUCGUCUUCUGUACUAUAUUCCUCCUCUAUUUCUUCUUAUUAUUUUUCCUUCUUCUCUUUCUCUUCCUCUGCUGGUAGUGGGUCUUUUUCAGAUUCUAAUUCUUCUUCACUCUCUGCUGCUGCCUCAACUACUGGAGCAUCCCUUGUUAAUGUUUGGAAAUUAAACGGCUACAACAAGGAGUCAUGGAAAUCUUUGCUCUUUUUCUUCAUGUAGACUUCAAACUAAUGUCUAUGGUUUUCAAGGUGCAUUAAAUAAUUCCUGAAUCUUUGAUUUUGUUCUUUCCAUGCGUGUACACAUUCAUUAAUGGUGUCACUUAAUUCUUGCAGCUUCAUCUCAAUGCCAGUAACGUUCAUUGCUCUGGUCACAACAACAUACUCUGGUGUUGCUGUAGUAGUAGUUUCCCUAGCAAUUCUUUCAACAAUUCGAUCAGUAAGAGCUCAUUCAUUCUUAAUGCUUUCAUCUUUUGCUGAUAUUUUCACCCGAAAUACCAGACAAAUCCUAGUAAUGAGUGAGCGAAACAACAAAGCAGCAAUCUUGUGAUUUUUCAUGGCACACUCUAAUCUCCCUCUCUAUAAUUUUCCUCACAUCAAUUGGUAUACCCUUGAAAAUGGCAUAUAAUAGGUAAGAUUUUCAUGAGAUACGGUGGUGGUGUAUGUGGUGGGUAUCAAUCGAGAUUUUAGAAAUUUUACCCACACUUUGGCUACUGGUUUCAAAUCAAUUCUAUUCACUCCUCUGCCUUCCUCAUUCAACCAUGAACUACCCUCCACCAUAAGGAUUUCAAGCACAUCACUUCACUCCUUAGCAAUCAUAUUCUCAAUCAUUUUUGAAUACUCACAAUCAAUAUCAUAUGGUAAAUUAUAAAAAAGCAUUGAUUACCCUCGGAUCUAAAGGGACUUGAACAUUCCUUACCACUAUUGUGCAUUGGUCUUGCCGCAACAUGUUGGAGUAAAAUUCCUUAACGAUUGGGAGCACAAGGUCUCGUGGGUGAGUGUAAAAAUCUAGCCAUCUUUUCUUUGCUACAGCAACAUAGAUUGUGUUGAUUGUUCCUGAUGGUUGUUGAGGGAAUUGAAAAUCAUUUUCCUCUAAAAUCUUCUUAGGCUCUAUAAAUUCUUCAAAUUAUCCUCGGCUUUGUCACUAUGGAAGCGUGAGGGGUCCUUUAGUCGAGCAGUUGUCUUCUUGUACCACGUUAUUGCUAGAGCAACAAAACUGAGUUGUUGGGUACCUAAAAAAGAAAAAACUCAUGAAAGUGACUCUAAAGUAUGUGGAGAACUGUGGACUAGAAGAGAAAAAAUUUGGAUAAGAAUGAAAAGAAGCAUUGUGAAACCCUAAUUUAUAGGUCACGGUAAAAUAGAAAAAAAUAAUUAAUGAGGUAAAUUUAGAAAUUGUAUUUGAAAUUUAAAAUAAAUCCACAUUUACGUUCGGGAAUUUAGGGAUUAUGUAAUCCAUUCUUAUUUUUUAUCUUGAUUUCUUGAGCCAUCUAUCAAAAAUUUACUCCCAACGGUGCAAAAAUACUUUCCAUAGUUAUGUCACUAUAACGGUAAGAAUCAUUGCUACAACAAGUAAUAUAGUGCUGCAGCAACUGCGAUAAAGUCCCUAGUUUGAUGAGAACCAUUGUUCAACUGUCAUAUAAAGUGUAAUGCUGCAACAUCUUGUGUCAGUGUUUUAUCCAAAAAAAAUUCAUUAUUAUUUAUACAUGCCGUAAUAAAAUAAUAGACACAAAUAAAUUAGAUAAAAACUUCAAAAUAUCAACAACCGUAAAGAAAAACAUGAAAACUAAAUUUAAUGUUAAAGGAAAAAUUGAAAUAACUCCCUUAAUCAUUGGGUUGCCUCCCAAUUAGCACUUUAUUUAAGGUCUUUCAGUCUGACCCCCCUUAAUUGCUCAAACUGGAUUUAUGAGGCACAAAUCCUCCCUUGAAUGGUGAAAAUCAUCAUUAAUAUAGUGUUUCACCCGCUGCCCAUUUACUAUAAAUUCAAUGCUAGUUCUCUCAUCUUUGAGGUCCACAGCCCCAUGAGGAUGGAUUUUGAUAAGUCCAAAAGGCCCUGACCAUCUAGACUUUAACUUUCCUAAAAAAAAGCUUUGAUCUAGAGUUGUAGAGCAAAACUCAUUGACCUAGAAUUAAAUCCCUUUGCUGGAUGCGUUUAUCAUGCCAUUGUUUUGUUUUGUCUUUGCAAAUCCUUGCGUUAUCAUAAAAGAACUAUCUUAAUCUUUAAACUCACAAAGUUAAAACUUCCUAUGCUCUGCUGCAACAUGCAUGUCCAUGUUCAGUUGUUUUAGCGCCCAAAAUGCUUUAUGCUCUAGCUCCAGUGGCAAAUAGAAAGCUUUGCCAUAUAUAAUUUUAUAUGGUGACAUGCCAAGUAGUAUUUUGUAAGCUGUGCGAUAUGCCUGUAAGGAAUCAUGUAAUCUAAAAGACCAAUAUUUUCUAGUAGGGUUCACCACUUUUUCUAAAAUCCUUUUUAUUUCCUUGUUGGACACUUCUGGCUGACCAUUAGAUUGAGGGUGAUAUAUUGUAGCAACCUUGUGCUUAAUUCUAUAUUUGGCCAAUGCUGCAGCAAAUAUUCUGUUGCAAAAAUGAGUGCUUUCAUCACUGAUGAUGGCUCUAAGAGUCCCAAAUCUUGUGAAAAUGUUCUUUUAAAUGAAUCUCACCAUGGCUUUGGCAUCAUUUGUUGGUAGUGUUACAACUUCCGCCCAUUUGAACACAUAGUUUAUAGCAACUAAAAUGUAUAAAUCCCCAAAAGAGGGUGGGAAUGGACCCAUGAAAUCCAUCCCCCCAACAUCAAAUAGCUCAACUUCUAAAAUGUUGGUUAAUGGCACUUCAUGUUUUUUAGAGAUGUUCCUUGUUAUUUGGCACCUGUCACAACAUUUAACAAACUUAUAAGCAUCUUUAAAAAUAGAGGGCCAGUAAUAACCUGAUUGUAUAAUUUUUUUACUGCUGGUCUGUGGCCUCCAAAAUGGCCUCCAUAUGCUACAGCAUGACAUGAUUGCAGUAUGUUUGAAAUUUCUUCAUCAGAUACAUAUCUUCUAAUCAUAUAGCCUGAGCAUAUCUUGUACAAAUAAGGUUCAUCCAACUGAUAACUUCUAACAUCAUUAAGAAAUCUCUUCUUCUAUUGGUAACUUAGAUUAAGUGGUAACAAUCAGCUCACCAAGUAAUUAGCAAAAUCUACAUACCAUGGAAGCCCAGAUUAUUGUAGCAUAUGUGUAUGCUUUAGCAUUAACAAUUGCUCAUUAAGAAAUGUCUCUGUGAUCUCUUGCUUGAUUAGAGUGCUUUCAUCUGCUUCCAGCCUUGAAAGAUGAAAUUCUCCUUGGUUCUCAGUCCCUAUUCUUUGUUUAAUCUCGAAGUCAAAUUCUUGUAGCAAAAGGAUCCACCUUAUCAACCUUGGUUUGGCAUCUUUUUUUUAAAAUCAAAUACUUUAUGGCUAAGUAAUCUGUGUAAACAGUCACUUUGGUGCCAACCAAAUAAGCUCUAAAUUUGUCAAAUACAAAGACAAUUGCUAGUAACUCAUUUUUCAAUGGUAGUGUAAUUAAUCUGAGCAUCAGCUAAAGUUUUGUUAGCAUUAUAAAUAGAGUGAAAAAUUUUGUUCUUUCUUUGCCCUAACACUGCUCCAACAGAGUGGUCGCUGGCAUCAGAUAUCAACUUAAAAGGUAAGUUCCAAUCUGGUGUUAUAACAAUUGGUGCUGUAGCAAAAGCUUUCUUCAAUUCUAUAAAAGUCUUUAAACAAAGCUUACCAAAAUAGAAAGGCCUAUCAUGCUCCAGCAGCUAGCAUAAGAGUUUUGAUAAUUUAGAAAAUCCUUAAUGAAUGUUAUAUAGAAUUAUGCAUGUCCCAAGAAAUUCCUAAUGCCUUUAACUGAAGUAGGUGGUGGGAGUUUACUAUUUUGACCUUCUCCACUUAUAUUCCUUUUCUAGAGACUUUAUGGCUUAGGAUUAUCCCUUCUUGUACCAUAAAAUGACACGUUUCCUAAUUCAACACUGAAUUUAUCUCCUCACAUAUUUUAAGCAUAUUUUCUAGAUUAUGUAAACAAUCAUCAUAGAUCUCCCCAAAAAUCGAAAAGUCAUCCGUGAAUACCUCAAGCGUUUGCUCUACCAUAUUUCAAAAAAUAGACAUCAUACACCUCUGGAAUGUUGCUAAAGCAUUGCACAAACUAAAGGACAUCCUUCUUAAAUCCUUCUGAAAUAAGCAAAAGUUUCAUAAAGACAAGUGAAUAUUGUCUUCUCCUUAUCCUCUAGUGCUAUAGCAAUAUGGUUGUAGCCAGAAUACUCAUCCAAGAAACAGCAGUACUUUUUUCCAACAAGUAUGUCUAGCAUCUAAUCUAUGAAAGGCAACGGGAAGUGAUCAUUCCUUGUGGCGUUGUUUAGCUUCCUAUAGUUCAUGCAAACUCUUCAUACAGUUACUGUUUUGUGGGAAUAAGCUCAUUCUUCUCAUUUGUUGCAAUAGUCACUCCACCUUUCUUUGGAUCACAUUGUACUGGACUCACUCAGGAGCUGUCGGAUAUUGGGUAGAUGAUUCCAGCAUCAAGUCAUUUGAUAAUCUCUUUCUUGGUCAAUUUGGGUGAGUACUUGCUAGCAAUCCUCUAGCAAUUAAUUUGAAUUCUUAUAGCUAUUUGACAACUAUUAAUUUAUGUUUUUAUAUUUUCAUAUUAAAUAUAUUUAUUUAUUUAUUUUGAUAAAUUUUUAAAAAAUCAUUACUUAAAUUUAAUUAAUGAAAUAUUUUAAAAAAAUAUUAAAUUGAUAAAAUAAAAUUAUAAAUAAUAACUAUUUGAUGACAUUAAACAAGUUAAAAAGUUAAAGGGGUAAUUUUAAAAGCUUUGAUUUCCAAAAGAAGAAGAAUUUGAAUUCUUCAAUUCUUUGUAUAAAAUUCAAAUUCUAUAUUAGGAUGAAUAGUAAAUUCUAAUAAAAUUUAAAUUCUUAUAUAUUUUGUCCAACCAAACAAUUAAAAAAAAAAAUUCAAAUUACUUUCCUAUUCUCUAUCCUCACCUCCCAACCAAACACCAUCUAAACUCCUUAAUAUGCCACCCACAUAUUCAAACACCUUUGAGAAUCAAAGUAUCCCAGAUCUCCAGUAAGGAACCACCCAAAUUGAAAAGUAGUCUUAUUAGCCUCAGGAUUACCUUUAAUCAAAGUAUCCCAGAUCUUGCUAGCAAUCCUCUAGCAAGAUCUUGUACAUACAUAUGGAGGGGCUGAUUCAUUUGAUAUCUUUCAUGGUCUAUCUAAUGGCCUUCUUGUAUCUCCCCAACAUUUCCACUCAGCUCUUUACUUGAUCUGCAUUCAAAGAAGAUGAAAUGAUUACAUGUAGUGUGUUAUUAUCACCAAGAUAAACAUAUUUUAGAUGUGAAGGUAGAAGUUUUAAGUAUAAAACAUGAGGUAAUUCAAUAGAUGGUACAGCAGGUUUCACUUCCCCAUUUGAAAGAUCUAGAGACUCAAAAUGUCUGUUUGUCCUCACAGGUCGCUUCUCUCUUAACUAUGCUAUAUGCGUUGCUGCAGCAUCUUCAUCUUCAAGUUCUUCAAAUGUGGCGGCCUUGAUUUCUUCAUUGUUGCAGCAAUUAUUUAAGAUGUCUGUGACAGUAAGCUUCACAGCACCGACCAAAUCACAAUCUUCAACUUCAUCAAGACUCAUCAUUGCUUCCAAUACAUUAAAGGUAACUUACUGAUCAUUAACCCUCAUACUCAACUCUCAUUUUUUAACAUCAAUUAAAGUUUUUCCUGUGGCUAAAAAGGGUUUGCCUAGAAUAAUUUGUACUUCUUUAUCUGCUUCAAAGUCCAACACUAUGAAAUCCACUGGAAAAAUGAAUUUAUCCACUUUAAUCAAUACAUCUUCAAUUUUGCCUUCAGGAUAAGCAUGAGAUUUAUCAGCAAGUUGCAAUGUCACUGUGAUUGGUCUGACUUCUCCAACUCCCAAUUAUGUGAAUACUGAUAAUGGCAUAAGAUUAAUGCUUGCUCUCAAAUCACAAAGUGUCUUACUAUUGUAUUUAGUUCUUGUGGAACAAAGAAUUUUAAAACUUCCUGGAUCCUUUAACUUCUAAGGAAUUUUACUUUAAAGUAUAUGGUUCCAUUAUUGUCUUAAAGCAACUAUUUUGAAUUCUCCAAGCCUUUUUUUUCUUGCCAAUAUAUCUUUAAAAAACUUCACAUAAUUUGGCAUUUGUUCCAAUACGUCCACAAAAGAAAUUUUGAAAUGCAGUUGUUUUAAUACUUCCAAUAAUUUACUAAACUGCUUGUCAUGUUUUUACUUCUGAAAUCAUUACGGGAAGAUUUCCCCUUGGGUAUAAUUAGGUUAUGUUCUUCUUUUUGGUACUUUAACUAAAAUAUGAACAUCCUUUUCAGACCUUAAGUUAAUCACCUUGCAAUGCUCUUUUCUUUCUCUUCUUGGAUCCUCUGUAUUGCUUAGUAAAUUGCCCUAAGGUAUGUUGCUCAAUGCUGUAGCAAGCUGUCCAAUCUGAUUCUCCAAGUUUCUUAAAGAUAUGGCUUGACUUUGGACUACUACUUCAUUCUUCACAAUAUACUCCAUAAUUAGAGUUUCAAAGGAACUAAAUUGAUCAUUACUGGUGUUUAUUUUCCCUUAAAAUUGCUGAUGAAAUCCAAGUGGCUAAGCAGGUCUGUUAUGUCCAUUAGAUGUUGCAACAUGCUGAUUCUGAUUGCUCCAUGAAAAGUUUGGGUGCUGUCUCCAUUCAGGAUUAUAGAUGUUUGAAAAUGGAUUGGUUUGAUUUUGUCUAUUGAAAUUGCCCGCAUAAUUGACUAAGCUGGAUUUCCAGGACAACUAUCAUAUAGAUGUCCCUCUCCACAAUAAACACAAGAGACUUCAGCAACUUGGUUAGUUGUUGCUGGAGCAGUGGUCGUUGAUUUUACCAUAUUUGUUAAUGAGGUUACUUGGGCUGAUAAUGAUGUCAGUGCAUCCACAUUGUGUACUCCAGUUACUCCUCUUAUUGCGGCUUGUCUAAUUAAUGGCCAUUAAUAGUUAUUGUUGGCUAUCUUUUUCAAAAUUUCAUAAGCCUCAUUGUAUUACUUAGACAACAAGGCCCCUAGUGUUUGAGUUCAACCCAUUGUAGAUAGUUUCCAAUUGUACACAACAAGGAAUACCAUGAUGAAGGCAUCUCCUGGGUAACUCCUUGAAUCUUUCCCAUGCAUCAUACAAGCUUUCAUCUUCAAGUUGAUGGAAAGAUGUGAUCUCAUUCCUCAACUUUACAUUCUUUGUCGGUGGGAAAUAUUUCAUCAAAAAUUUGUCAGCCAAAUCAUUCCAUGUGGUGAUGGAGUCUAGUGGCAAAGAAUUCAACCAUGCCCUUGCUUGAUCUCUUAAAGAAUACGGGAAAAUUUUGAGUCUCAAUGCAUCUUGUGAUGCUCCAGCAAUUUUAAAAGCAUCACUUACCUCCAAGAAUAGUUUAAGGUGAAGAUGAAGAUCUUCUUAUGGCAAUUCAUUGAAUUGCCCCACUGUUUGUAAUAUCUAAAACAUCACUGGUUUGAGCUCGAAAUUGACAACUUGCAUUUCAGGUCUAACUAUUCCAGGAUGUAUAACUUGAGGGGUCAACACGGCAUAGUCUCUAAUGGCUCUGUCUCUAUCAUCUGUCAUGUAGAUAAUAUUGUUGUUCCCUGGUUGUCCCCAAAUAUUCUGCUCAUUAUGGCUUUCUUGGUCAUUAACUGGUUAUAUUUCUCUGUGAGGGUUCAAGUUCCUCAUAUCUUGCAAAUCGUCCAUUACUACAGCAGCUUUUGAAUGCUUAUUCUCUUUCCUCAAUCUCCUUACAAUUCUUUCAAUCUCUGGAUCAAAUUGGAAUUCAACAUGUUUGUAUUUGCGCAUGCAAGGGUUGGUAGAGCUCUUCUACAAACACAUUAAAAAAAAAGAAAAUUAAAAUCUUGCAUCAACUAAAAUUGAUUUCACAAAACACAAUAAGCACCAAUCCCCGGCAACGACGCUAAAAACUUAUUGUAGGUUUUCUAAUGCUAUUAGUGUCAAUGUGCAAGUGCACAUAACAAGUAAUAUAAUGAUAAAUAUUCUAGAUUGUCUCCACAAGGAUUAUUGUUAUAGGAAUUGCUACAACAAUUUUAUCAGUGCAAUUUUUAUUCUAAAUUAGAAUUAAAAUAAAUUAUUAAAUUAAUGAACUAAUUAAGAUAAAAAUGCAAUAAGAAAAAUACAAUAACAUAAAUUAUCACAGCAAAUAUAAGGAUGUAACCAAGGGGAAUGGAGUAGUUGAGUAAUUAAACUCACUUAAUGGUUUUGAUUAUUUUUCUAAUGUUUGGUUCGAUUACUACAACAUCUUCUACAGCACUGGGAAGAAUCCUUAUGUAUCCUCAAUUGUCGCAUGUUGGAUGUCUUAUACCUAAAAACAACUUAACAAUGACCAAUUGUUAUGCUAACAUUAGAUAUAGCAUUACACGUUUUAGAUUCGAAUUACCCUACAAGGUGAAUCCUUAUAUCUAGUUCAUCACUAAUUUUAGAUUACGCAUGACCUUUUUUUAAUCAGGUUAAACCCAAUUCAGGAAACCCAAUCUAAACCCAACUUAGGAAACCUAAUCUAAACCAAGUAUUGUUAUGAUAUGUUCCACUAAGACAGGUCUUUAUAGGCUCUAUCUUAGCUAAUAUCACUAAAUGGGUGGUCAGCCAAAAUAGUGAAUUGAAAUAAGUAUUAUUAAAACAACGUACUAUAGCAAACAUGCCCCAAUAUAGUAUAUCAGUCAAUUAACUAUCAAGUUUGCUCAUCGCUCAACCACGAGUAAAUUUAGUUCAUAAUUUGCAAUAAAACAAUAAUCAAAAUAGUUUUAGCCAUCAAAUAAUCCAUCAUAACAAGAUAAAAGUAAGAGAACAAAAAAUAAGAGUUGAGAUCUGUUUGAUGUUCUUCUAGAAUUCUUUGUUGCCGUCUUCGAUUCUCUCUCUUGAUAUUUGUUUUAUCUUGUUUUGUUUCUCUAUUGUUUCUCUCAAAUGACGGUCUCUCCUUUUUCUUUGCGUUUGUACUUCUUUUAUAUCUUAGCAUCAGGGCAACCGGAAGCCUAGGGUGCGCAUAUUCUAGUUUAGGAAACUCAAGAUCGCAAUCUUCCAAGUAUUAUAAGCGAAAUCUUUUCUGCCAUUGUUCCAGGAUUGCUACAGGAACAAUGCUACAGCAAUGGCUUCAGCACCUGCACUGUUCCAGAAUUGUUUCAAUUCUUAUAUAACCAUAUUCUUUCUUUAUCUUUGCAAGCCUAUUGCAGCAGCAUUCCUCCCUUGAAAUUUGAGCUUCCGGUCACCUAUAAUUAUAUUAUGAUCUAAGCACAAAAAUUAUUCUGAAACAAUGCAAUUUAUUAAAAUAAACUAUGGAUAUUCAUACAAAAUAUAACUAAAAUGCAAUAAAAAUAUGCCAUUUACUCUCUAAGUAAUCUUGAUUUAAGUCUAAAAAUGUCAUGAAAACUUUCAUUUCACAGAGUUAUCAGCAGCAAAAGGGUUAAUCCAACUAUUGAUUUAGAUCAAGUCUAUAAUGACAAUAACCCCUAACUAUUUGAGCUUAAAGCUCUUGCCAGCAAAUGGGCAAUUGGGAUGAAAGUCCUCUAUAAACAACUUGAAUAGAUAAGUAAAGAAAAAAAAAUGUGGCUUCACUAAGUCAAAACAAAACAUAUAAUCUAUUCAUUCAGUAAAAAAGAAAACAUUUUAGCCAAGCAAGCCAUCUUGAAAAAGAAAAAGGCAAUAUAUGAGAAUCUCGUGGAAUCCAACCUGCCAACACACAGUGGGAUAUGCAAGGUGCUUAAUCAUCAAUCAGAUUCUGGCUUUUGCUAUAAAAAAAAAAUCAAAAGAAUAAUCUAGUAAGGAAGACAUGCCGCUAGAUGAAGAGCUCAUAAUUAACACGUGACAGGAGGCCACUAAAAAGAUAAAGAUGCCAACUAGAAGCAUUAAUAUUUCAGAAAGAAUCCAAAGUAAAGGAUAAGACUUAUCGAAAUCCUUACCUCAACCAUGUGAAGACUAUCAACCAUUAGAAAAAGAAGACAAAAGUUGCCCUUAAUAAUGCAAGAAGAAGGGGUUACCUUAUCUCUGGGAAAUCUAUCAGGCAACAAGUGUCAUGUAAAAAGAUAUAAUCUUAUCUCUAAAAUCUAUAUGUGUAAGAAAGGAUUAUCUUAUCUAUCUAAAUCUAUAAAUAAAGUCACGUAAGAUAGAAGAGGUAUCACUCACGAGCAUUCUCUUAUUCUCAUCUGUAUUCUCUCUUUAAAUUCAAAAAUUAAAUAAAAAAAUUGUUUUUGAGUGAAAUUAUUAUCUUUAUAUAACUUAUUUAGAUUUUAGAAAAAAAAAAUCAAGAAUAUACAUGCCAACACUUGUGCUAAAUAAAGAAGAUUUCAUAUUACUAAGCACUCUUCUAUAUCAAUUACAACAGAUUCACUUAGGCAUAUCUUACUGGCUUAGUCUGCAAUGUGUUGCUUUAGGCCGUGUGGAAUAGUUGUGGGAUUGAUCUUGCAUGAUGUGUGGAGCUAUAACAGUGCUGAGCAUGGGCCAAUUUAUAGGCUCAUGGAACUAGCAAAAUUAUUCUAGAAUUUUGAGGAUUGUACUCUAGUUAGUACUCUAAAUUAUCUUAUUAUAUUUUGCACAAAUAAAUGAUAUAGAGUGAUAAUAGCAACUCAAUUUUCAUAAAACAUGGAAAGAUGAGUCGCCAAAUUUCUAGAUGCCAUAGAUAAUCUAGACUUUAGUAAGGAAUAUCAAGUUAUUUAUACAAUGAAAAUUGUUAAAUCUCGAUUAAUUGCAAGGAAGCACUUGUAGAGAGAUAUAGAGAGAAUAAACUAUUAGCCUAAAAGGGCUACACAUAUUGUAAUUUUGAUGAUAACAAACAUGUGUCUUAAGUGAUUUGAUAAAUAUUGUAUAUCACAUUUUCAUUAGUUCUUGAAAGAUAAUAUUUAUGAUGAAGUGAAUCACGAAAAAUCAAGCUCAAGACACUCAACGGACAACGGCGUGAUCAAGAAUAAAGUUUAGAGUUCAACGGAAUCAUUAUUGCGACAAUUCUUGUAAAGCCGGUAUGAUUUAAAAUAUGAAUGAUUUAGCAUUUAAAAAGCUCAAGAUUUUGUUUAAUAAAUCAUUAUUUUUUCAUAAAUCAAAAGUUUUACAAGUAUAAGCUAAGUAUUUUAUGAAAUUAGUUAUUUUUCAAGAUGUGGACUAAAAUGAAAAUUUUUUACAAUCUUUGAUUUUAAAAAGUAUUGUUUUGAAUUCCAGAGUUUGACUUAUUUGCAAACAUUUAAAACUUUUUAGGUCAUACUAUAAUUUAUGAACGUUUGAGGACCCGAAGUGAAAAUAUCCAAAAAUUUGAUAAAGAGUUAGCGGCUAAUCGCCUGAGGGCUAGCGGCUAGCUGCCUAAGGAAAAUCUCAUAUUUUCAAAUUUUGGACUAAAUUAAAAGAUUUUGAGAACUUUGAAAUUUAUAAGUAUUAUGUUAAAUUUUGAAAAAAAUUAUUAAACUUUGGACCAUAUCAUAAUUUCAAAAAGUUUUUAGAAUAACAAGUAUUAUUUUAAAAUUCAAAAGUUGGACCUGUUUGUAAAGUGUUAUAACGUUUUGGGCCAUAGUAUAAUUACAUAAAGUUUUGGGCACAAAUGUAACUUUAUUGUUCUGAAGCAACGAGCCGGAUAAAUUAAGUGGCUAGUCACUUGUUUGCUGGAAUUUACCCAUAACGGCUAAUUUUCAAGCUUUAUCUAUAAAAACUCAACUCCAACUUCAAUUUGGAGACUUUUGCAAGCAUAAACAAGUGCAUAAAAUAUAUAUUGAGCUUUUAUUUCGCAAAUCAUCUUAUAUUGAAUCAUCAUUGUGCUAUUAUUUGUAGAUCUACUCUAAAAGAGAGUUUUUUUUGUUGUAUUAUUCAUUUUUCUCAUCAAAUUUGUAAGUGUAUAAGUGUGAGAAACACUUAUGUGAAGAGAUUGAGAGAUAAUCUCUUGGUUGUAAAGGUUUAUUGACAUCUUGAAAGUCAAAUGUAAUGAACUUGAAGCCUUGGGAAACUUGAAUAGUGAAAUCCUUAAGGUUGGUUGGCUUGGAGGCAUGGACGUAGGCGGGGAUUGCGGAACCACGUAAAAAUUAUUGUGUUUGCUCUAUUUUCCCUUACUCUUCUAUUAUUGUACUUUAUUGAAUUUUUUAUUUUUUAUUUGAUUAAGACAAUAGAUUGAAUUGUUGUGCGAAUUGUUUAGCGUAAGUUUUAAAAUCUCAAUUCACCUCCCCCCCCCCUCUUGGAUUGCAUAACUUGCAUUUCAUAAACUUUAAAGAUAAUAAUUAAAUAUACGACAGCUUUAAGGAAGAAAAUAGAAUAGUAUUAAUAGAAUCUAUUUUAACCGGUCUUGAAAUAAUUCAAGACAGAUGCAAAAUAAAUAACAGGACUCUAAACCGUCCAUAAUAAGUCUAUUGAUGAAUAAAAACAAUAAUAGUGAUGUGAAUAUAUUCGGAUUUUAUAGAUUUUUAUGAAUUUGAUAACCAUUUAGAUCUUUAUAAAAUUAUAAUAAAACUUUAAAAAGCUUUAAAAAUAUAUGUAGAAAAGAUGGAAGAAGAAAUCAUCCAUUUAUUCAAAAUCAAUUAAACAAAAAUAAAAGGUAAAAUACUUGAGUUAUAUCAAUUAUACAAUUUCACAAAAAUUUUACAUAGAUUGCAAAAAGGUCCUUGUGGCACUACAGCAGGUUUCAUAAAUUUUUUACAUACAAAUUUUAUGUUUUAAAAUAUGAAUUUUUUUUUGUAUUUAAUACUUUGUUCAACUAUAUGUACAGGUCCUCAACGUGUUGGUUGAUGUUGAAUAUUCAAAGAUCCACAAGCUAUCAAUGACAACGACUCAAAUUAAACUAAUUCGUUAAUACAUAAUAACUGGGUUGUUUCCUAUGCUUGUUAAUGAUGUAGGACGUUGUUUUAGAAUUUUAGAAUUUUAAUUUUUUAGGUCUUCUGAUAUUUUCUUUUUUAAUUAAAGUUAGUGUCUUAGUCUUUUAUUUCUAUUGUAAUUAUGAUUUACUUUCCCUUUUUAAGUUAACUUAUAAAAGUAGAUUUACUCUAUUAUAAAUAAAGAGAUCUUGUUAUCGCUUUUAUAACUUCAACUUCAGUUAUUAAAUUAAAAACCCCUCUUUUAUAAUUUCCUUUGGUAUUAUCUAUUAAAAAUUCCUCUUUUAGAGUUGUUUGAUUAGAGUAUCAUUUAGCCUAUCUUAACACAGUAUUAAAAAUCCCAUUGAGUUUAAUCAUACUUCGAUUUGAGCGUAAUUAAUAGCAUUGAUUUGGUCCAGUACUUGAACGAUAUCUAGUGUUUUGCUUCUGCUACGCCCAAGGAGAAAAUGAAUUUCACCGUGAGAUAAGAGCAUUAAAAGGAAUUCAUAAGAAAUUUAAAUUAAAUUAGCUACGAAGUGAAAAUAAAUAAAUAAAUAAAUGAAUAUGAAGUUGAAAAUAAGUCUCGCCGCCUGGAUCCAAGGCCAAAACAUUCAUGAUAAGUUAGGUAAUUAAGUACAUGUUUUCAAGCUCUUCAUGAAGAAUAAUGUUAUUGAAAUAAAUCACAAAGACUCCCUGCGCAAAUUAUUACAUUGAUUAAAAAAAAAAUGCCAUAUCUUUAACAGGAUCGUGGCUCUCGGACUGUUAAUUACUUUAUUCCCUGCUUGGCCAACAGCUGGCCACUAAACAAAAUCAUAAAAAUUUUAAAUUUAGUCAAAUUGGUCCCACUUGAUGUCAUCCUUUUCAUACAUAAAAUUGUUUAACGUCAAGGUUAAAUAUGAGAAGUUUGGUAGAGACGGUAAAAAGGAAGUCUAUAUAAGGAGGGGAACGAGCUUUGUUUAUAGCACAAGUGAAACUCCACUUUAUUGAACGAUAGGGUCUCAAAUGGGCUGCCUCUUUGCCACUCUUUUGGUAGUAUCAGUCUCUCUUAGCUACUUGCCGUUAGAAGCCUCCGCAAACAAAUACUACUACACAUCUCCUCCCCCUCCCAAGUACAAGUCUCCACCCCCCCCGCCACCGGUUCACAAUUCUCCACCACCACCCCCGGUUUACAUGCCCCCGCCACCUCCUCCACCAGUCUACGUGCCUGCUCCGGCACCAACUCCAAUUUCCUAUUCCCCGCCACCUCCUGUCCCCAAGUCCCCACCACCACCUCACCCUUACGUCUAUGCAUCUCCCCCUCCUCCUUACUACUACUAGAAAGCGGCCAUGAAUAGCUCAUGCUUUUAUGGUAAUCUCAUUUAUUUUUAAAACU
This 40521-nucleotide long non-coding RNA is filed under the name Citrus maxima (pomelo). RNAcentral's name for it is "long non-coding RNA (CMAX_LNC002287)". The stretch from base 33467 to 33573 matches the Rfam family "Plant small nucleolar RNA R71". The record is from RNAcentral. Lineage: Eukaryota; Viridiplantae; Streptophyta; Magnoliopsida; Sapindales; Rutaceae.